RNAcentral lists this ribosomal RNA (290 nucleotides) under Shigella flexneri. RNAcentral describes it as "partial 16S ribosomal RNA". It matches the Rfam family "Bacterial small subunit ribosomal RNA", at positions 860 to 1150 of the family's 1533-position model. Lineage: Bacteria; Pseudomonadati; Pseudomonadota; Gammaproteobacteria; Enterobacterales; Enterobacteriaceae. The record is from RNAcentral.
UUAAGUCGACCGCCUGGGGAGUACGGCCGCAAGGUUAAAACUCAAAUGAAUUGACGGGGGCCCGCACAAGCGGUGGAGCAUGUGGUUUAAUUCGAUGCAACGCGAAGAACCUUACCUGGUCUUGACAUCCACGGAAGUUUUCAGAGAUGAGAAUGUGCCUUCGGGAACCGUGAGACAGGUGCUGCAUGGCUGUCGUCAGCUCGUGUUGUGAAAUGUUGGGUUAAGUCCCGCAACGAGCGCAACCCUUAUCCUUUGUUGCCAGCGGUCCGGCCGGGAACUCAAAGGAGACU